This 3500-nucleotide long non-coding RNA is filed under the name Bemisia tabaci. Its description in RNAcentral is "lncRNA ENSSSA3NGG006681". The record is from RNAcentral. Lineage: Eukaryota; Metazoa; Arthropoda; Insecta; Hemiptera; Aleyrodidae.
UCAAAUUUCCUCCAGUCGGCGCUUAAUAGGACUAAACUAAUUGAUGAUGAUCAUGUGCACAGUAUGCCUGUCAGUCAAAUGGGCAACUAUCAAGAGUAUUUGAAGAGGAUGCAGCCUCAACUGCGUGAAGUAGAAUCAACGCCUGUUAGACAACAUAUGUUUGGAAAUCCGUUUAAAAUCGACAAGCGGAUGAUGAUGGUGGACGAAGCUGAUAUUGACCUCGUCGGAGGCGGAGGUAGCUCACCAGCAAAGGAGGAACCAAGCGAGGAGCGAGCGAAAAUGUGGCCCCGACACGGCCUCCGCCGAGCAAGCGUAAAGCGGGUCCUAUCCCACGCCAUGUCACAUUCCGCAGAUCUCCGUCAGUGACCAGCUCCAGUUGUGGAGACUCGCCUCCCCCGACGCCGCCCCCUACUCCUCCCCCAAUCAUGCCAGUCAUGCCUUUAGUCAAUGGUGAUCUAGAUAGUCUUAGUAGAAGUUUGAAAAGAGAGCGACCUGGCUCGCGGUCACCUUCUCCUCCGCUGGCAGAUGUGCCACCACCAAUCCUCCAGCCGUACGAUGGCAGCCUAGCAUCGAGUGAAUCCAACCAGCGCAGCAUCCUGCCGAGUCCAGACCCUGUGCCCCCAAAACUAGAAGAGCUCGAGACGCCAUUCAAAGAGUUCAAUGAUUAUAGCCCUGCGUAUACCAACAGUAACCAUAACUAUAACCCUCCUCCUCCCCCUCCCCCUCUCCCCCUAACUGUAAAGCUGAUAGCAUAAUCGAUUCAGCUCAGGUUAAAAAGCAUAACAUGAAUUUGCGGGCGCUCGCGUUUAAAGAGAUUAAGAAACCCGGCAGAAGUAAGUAUCUCGGAAGCUAUUCCUCCCUCCCGACCUGUGCGACUGUGCAGUUUGGACAGUGGAGUUCUCUCUCAAUUCGAUUAUUAGGCUCUGAUAGAAAAGAUGUUGCAAAAUAUUUGUGAUUGGAAAAAGCAGCUGUUACCCCUUUAAAAAUAGAAAUCGAACAAUUUUGGAGAGGUGAUAAAUUUUGAAAGUGGGAACAAAACUCAAAGAAGCCUCUAACAUGUCUCACAAUUUAAAUGGUAUAACUUUCUCAAUCAAAUAGUGAGGGGCUAAAAGUUUUUGUUUGUUUGAAACCUUUUCGAAUUAUGAGAAAAUUAAACCAAGCUAAUAUUUCUGUGCAUACCAUAAUAAUCUUGUCUGCUCUAUUGUGCUGAAUCGCAGCUCUUAUGAUCAGGAACCAAAAUGUUUAAUUUCAUUUGAAGGGGGAAGAACUUCAAAUACUGUUUAUAUACAAGUAAUUUGCUGAAGUAACCUUAAUAAAAAGAGAGCGUUGGAGCUCUGUUAAAGUUAAUUUCUUGUCUUUCGUUCCUGCAAGUUGCGUCACAAUCGUCAAAAAUGAAGAACAGGAAGUUCAGUAAGUUCGAAUUUUAGUGAAACAUUUGUCAUUUCUAAGGUCUCAUCAAAUAUUACCAGCAUCUUUUGCAUCAAAGCCACAAACCACCCUCACUGCUUUUAGUGCCCAAUUGGAAAGAAGCAAGUCUCCUUGCAUAUUUGAGCUCUAAUGAACUUGGUCUUGGAGAGGGAAAAAAGAUUUUUGACCCAGUCAAUUCAAGUUCGAUUUAGCAUAUUCCCAACACAACUGUCAAGUAAUGAUUUUGUGACAGUUAGUUUUAUACUUUCCAUUUGGGCACUCGUUUUUACAUCGCUCUAAUCUUUGUGUAUUUGUUUUUCUAUGGUUACUUUUUGUGCUGCUAUAUGAGACACUGGAACAAGAUUUGUGGUUACACCAAUACACCAACCCUAAGGAAGAUAAAUUGAAUAGUAAAGAUAUGAUCUCUUCAUCAAAUUAUAUUGUUCUGAUACUAAUGAUUGGGACUGUUGCUCAGUUUGUUCUAAUUCAAAUUCAGAAGUACAUAUGUACAUAAGAAACGAGAAUACUUACAUUUUGACAAUGGACCACUAGACAGGGUACAAAUAUAAUCAUUUUGAUAAAUGGUUUCUUUAUCAAAAUCCUCUUAGAACCUGAUUAGUGCAACGAAAAGUACUGAUAUACCUCUAAUUGUUAACGAGAAUUUUGAAUAGAUUCGGUUUUGGUUUUUAUCUUCCUUGGGAACAGUUGUUAAAACCACAAGUUAAAUGCUUAUCAUGUUGACAAAAGUCUUGAUUCAGUUUUUUCUCUUUUUUUUUUUUUUUUUUUUUUUUUUUUUUUUUAAAAGAAAACUUAUUUAGCUUUGUUUUCAUUGUUUUUGAUUCUCUCGAAAGCAUCAAGUCAAAUUUUCAAGGAUAUUUCUAGAGUAGCCCACUAUUUUGACAUGAUCAGAUGACACAUGAACUAUUUUGACAUCUUGUAGAUUUUUACAACAUCAUUUCUUCGAACGUCAUAAGUUAUGAUAACAUUCCUAUGAGCUAGAGAAUUACUUGGUAUUAAAAAUUUAGGAAGAAGUUCUUUUGUUUUUUCCUUCUUUUUUUUUGAAAAAAAUCGAAGAAUAUCUGAUUUUCCUAAUUCGUGAUCUGUGUCAGAUCAUUUAACUGUUCUUACUUUUUGUAAAUAAUGAAUGAAAUUAAAGCAGUUGUAUUACUUAAUACAUAUAUUUAUGCCUGAAGUUGAGACGACAAAAGUGCGCCUUGAUACAGAAGACUGUAUUCUUUUGUAUCAGUAAUGAUUGGUGAAUCCAAGAAUGAAAAAUAUUUCCUGUCAUGCUUACAGAACUUCAAUAAUCUGUAGAAAAUCAUAUUUGAACUCUUUCAAUGAUACAGUAUUGCAUGGAUAGUCUUCUUGUUGAUUCUUGAAGAAAUGACCUGUUGUUCUUGCAAAAGAUAGCAAUGUCCUGUUAAUGCCUGCUAAUGACUCAAAUUGGCAGGUAUUCCAUCUUCUUUAAUGGAUGAAAUUAUCAACCUGAUGCUUUCGUUUGGUUUUAUCUGUGUCUUUGGAUCCAUUCUGUCAAUUGGACUGCAUUUUGCAAUUUGGAACUAUAAAUUCUGGCUCUUCUGGAAAAACACCCAUGGGCAUUGGGAAACUAAUGGCACAUACGUUGUUUUUAAACCGGGCUAGAAUUUAUAGUUCCAAAUUACAAAAUGUAGUCCAAUUACUCAUGUAAAGCCCGUGUAGAUUGUGGAAUGAACCACCGGGUCCGAGUAAGAAUUAAUCACCGCAGCACUUGUUUUCUAACCUAAAUUUUUAGCAGAAUACAUUGAAUAUACUGAAAACUUCUAAAAUCUCUCUGAAAGAGAAAUCAAAAUUUGUAGUUUACAUUUUUAACUGUAGGUAAAUUCAAACUUCACACUCGCGUUAAAAACGUAAUCAACAGAGGCCUUGUUUGGCGUUGCAUUAACCUAUAGUUAUGCAAUAGCCGACUGCUGUUUCACAGACACAUUUCCUUUCUCUUCUGAUGCAGGGCAUCCUCAAUCUGUCUCGAAAAAGUUAGCAAACAGGGAAAUUCCUCAUCAGAAAAUACGUGAGAAAGUGUGAAUUAAUGCAGACAAAAACUGUCAUUCAACUUGUGG